UACAUGCAGUCGAGCGAACAGAAAGGGAGCUUGCUCCCGGAUGUUAGCGGCGGACGCCCCUCCUAAAGGUGGGUAACCUGCCUGUAAGACUGGGAUAACCCCUUGUAAACCGGAGCUAAUACCGGAUAGUUCCUUGAACCGCAUGGUUCAAGGAUGAAAGACGGUUUCGGCUGUCACUUACAGAUGGACCCGCGGCGCAUUAGCUAGUUGGUGGGGUAAUGGCUCACCAAGGCGACGAUGCGUAGCCGACCUGAGAGGGUGAUCGGCCACACUGGGACUGAGACACGGCCCAGACUCCUACGGGAGGCAGCAGUAGGGAAUCUUCCGCAAUGGACGAAAGUCUGACGGAGCAACGCCGCGUGAGUGAUGAAGGUUUUCGGAUCGUAAAGCUCUGUUGUUAGGGAAGAACAAGUGCGAGAGUAACUGCUCGCACCUUGACGGUACCUAACCAGAAAGCCACGGCUAACUACGUGCCAGCAGCCGCGGUAAUACGUAGGUGGCAAGCGUUGUCCGGAAUUAUUGGGCGUAAAGGGCUCGCAGGCGGUUUCUUAAGUCUGAUGUGAAAGCCCCCGGCUCAACCGGGGAGGGUCAUUGGAAACUGGGAAACUUGAGUGCAGAAGAGGAGAGUGGAAUUCCACGUGUAGCGGUGAAAUGCGUAGAGAUGUGGAGGAACACCAGUGGCGAAGGCGACUCUCUGGUCUGUAACUGACGCUGAGGAGCGAAAGCGUGGGGAGCGAACAGGAUUAGAUACCCUGGUAGUCCACGCCGUAAACGAUGAGUGCUAAGUGUUAGGGGGUUUCCGCCCCUUAGUGCUGCAGCUAACGCAUUAAGCACUCCGCCUGGGGAGUACGGUCGCAAGACUGACACUCAAAGGAAUUGACGGGGGCCCGCACAAGCGGUGGAGCAUGUGGUUUAAUUCGAACCAACGCGAAGAACCUUACCAGGUCUUGACAUCCUCUGACAACCCUUAGAGAUAGGGCUUUCCCUUCGGGGACCGAGUGACCGGCGGCGCAUGGUUGUCGUCAGCCCGUGUCGUGAAAUGUUGGGUUAACUCCCGCAACGAGCGCAACCCUUGAUCUUAGUUGCCAGCAUUUAGUUGGGCACUCUAAGGUGACUGCCGGUGACAAACCGGAGGAAGGUGGGGAUGACGUCAAAUCAUCAUGCCCCUUAUGACCUGGGCUACACACGUGCUACAAUGGACAGAACAAAGGGCUGCGAGACCGCAAGGUUUAGCCAAUCCCAUAAAUCUGUUCUCAGUUCGGAUCGCAGUCUGCAACUCGACUGCGUGAAGCUGGAAUCGCUAGUAAUCGCGGAUCAGCAUGCCGCGGUGAAUACGUUCCCGGGCCUUGUACACACCGCCCGUCACACCACGAGAGUUUGUAACACCCGAAGUCGGUGAGGUAACCUUUAUGGAGCCAGCCGCCGAAGGUGGGACAGAUGAUGGGGUGAAGUCGUAACA
RNAcentral lists this ribosomal RNA (1459 nucleotides) under Bacillus sp. (in: firmicutes). Its description in RNAcentral is "bacterial SSU rRNA". It matches the Rfam family "Bacterial small subunit ribosomal RNA". Lineage: Bacteria; Bacillati; Bacillota; Bacilli; Caryophanales; Bacillaceae. The record is from RNAcentral.